GACGAACGCUGGCGGCGUGCCUAAUACAUGCAAGUCGAGCGGAUGAAAGAGGAGCUUGCUCCUCUAGAUUCAGCGGCGGACGGGUGAGUAACACGUGGGCAACCUGCCCUGUAAAUUGGGAUAACUCCGGGAAACCGGGGCUAAUACCGAAUAAUCCUUCGGACCUCAUGGUCCGAUGUUGAAAGACGGUUUCGGCUGUCACUACAGGAUGGGCCCGCGGCGCAUUAGCUAGUUGGUGAGGUAACGGCUCACCAAGGCCACGAUGCGUAGCCGACCUGAGAGGGUGAUCGGCCACACUGGGACUGAGACACGGCCCAGACUCCUACGGGAGGCAGCAGUAGGGAAUCUUCCACAAUGGACGAAAGUCUGAUGGAGCAACGCCGCGUGAGUGAAGAAGGUUCUCGGAUCGUAGAACUCUGUUGUGAGGGAAGAACAAGUACCGGAGUAACUGCCGGUGCCUUGACGGUACCUCAUUAGAAAGCCACGGCUAACUACGUGCCAGCAGCCGCCGUAA
This 514-nucleotide ribosomal RNA is filed under the name uncultured bacterium. RNAcentral's name for it is "partial 16S ribosomal RNA". It matches the Rfam family "Bacterial small subunit ribosomal RNA", at positions 28 to 523 of the family's 1533-position model. The record is from RNAcentral.